UUCUCUUUUUCCUUUCUCUUUCUAUUUUUCUUCCCCUUCUCCCUCAUCUUUUUUCUCCUUCAUUUCCUUUUGCCUUUUCUCUUCAUUCCUCUCCUUUCCUCCUCUCUUCUCCUCUUUUUCCUUUCCUUUUCUGUUUUCCUUCUCCUCUCCUCUGCUCUGUUCUCUUUUCCCUUUUCCUUUUUCUUUCCCUUUCCCUUUCUGUCCUUCCACCCUGAUCCCUCACCAAUCCUUCUCAUAUAACUGGCUUAAAUCAGGGGAAAGUAUAGGCCAGGCUUAUGCAGUGGAUGUGAGACGUGUGGUGUGGUUUACAACUCUGCUGCUAUUUACUCUCCAACACUCCCAGGGCUGCUCCAGUAUUCCAGGCAUCAACGGUUUUACCAACAGCAAAUAUAACUGACAAAAUCAGCCAGGGGGCACAACUGAUUUAACAGCUUCUGAAAUAACCUGUCUUUUGCUGCAAUAUACCUAUGGCCCUAUAUCAGACAGACAGAUCAGAACAUGAUUGACUGCCAAUGAACCCAAGAGAACUUCUCGACCUCAGAAUAAUGACAAAGAAUGGUGCCCACCAUAUAUGGUCAUUACAGGAAGACAGAACCGAAGGGUCAAGUUUCCUUGUAAGUGCUUUGGGGCAAUAGAUUCUCCAUUCUUGUUUGCUCAUUUGCAUAUUUUACUUCAUGAAGUGCUGCUUUCACCUAAAACACAAUAUAAGCAAAUGAUAAGGCCAGAAGAAUGCAACCUCUCAGUGCAUAGUCUGACUAGUUCAAAGAAAUAUUUUCAAGUCAUUCAAAAACAAUAAAAUAC
Antechinus flavipes (yellow-footed antechinus) is the source of this 801-nucleotide long non-coding RNA. RefSeq lists it as uncharacterized. The transcript has 3 exons. Lineage: Eukaryota; Metazoa; Chordata; Mammalia; Dasyuromorphia; Dasyuridae. The record is from RefSeq and is a predicted model, not a curated record.